Molecule: ribosomal RNA, 301 nt
Filed under: uncultured bacterium
Lineage: Bacteria
Description: partial 16S ribosomal RNA
Rfam family: Bacterial small subunit ribosomal RNA
Source: RNAcentral
CAGUCGCCGCGGGAAUACGAAGGGUGCAAGCGUUAAUCGGAAUUACUGGGCGUAAAGCGUGCGUAGGCGGUGAGUUAAGUCUGCUGUGAAAUCCCCGGGCUCAACCUGGGAAUGGCAGUGGAUACUGGCUCGCUAGAGUGUGUCAGAGGAUGGUGGAAUUCCCGGUGUAGCGGUGAAAUGCGUAGAGAUCUGGAGGAAUACCGAUGGCGAAGGCAGCCAUCUGGCCUAAUACUGACGCUGAGGUACGAAAGCAUGGGGAGCAAACAGGAUUAGAUACCCGAGUAGUCCCUGUCUCUUAUAC